Magnolia sinica is the source of this 155-nucleotide long non-coding RNA. RefSeq lists it as uncharacterized. The transcript has 3 exons. Lineage: Eukaryota; Viridiplantae; Streptophyta; Magnoliopsida; Magnoliales; Magnoliaceae. The record is from RefSeq and is a predicted model, not a curated record.
CAGGAAUAUAAUCUUAUUUGUUAGACGUUCACUUCUCUUACUGCAGAUAAGAACUUGCUUCAUCAGAUCUUGAAGAUGGAUCUAGAGGCAGAGCCGCUCGGGGAUGCAUCCUAUAAAGAUGCCAGGGAGUCGCUAGGGGAUGCAGCCCUUGAAGA